Molecule: long non-coding RNA, 350 nt
Organism: Colius striatus (speckled mousebird)
Lineage: Eukaryota; Metazoa; Chordata; Aves; Coliiformes; Coliidae
Exons: 2
Source: RefSeq, a predicted model, not a curated record
CCUCCUGGGGGCGCGGCGCGGCACGGCACGGCGCGGCACGGCACGGCACGGCGCGGCACGCUCCGCCCCCGGCCCGAGGGACGCCGGCGGAGGAGCUCCCGCACCCCGCCCCGUACCGCACCCCGCUGCAGAAGGCCGAGGUCGCGUCUAAACCGGGAUGAGCAUUUCUAGGAGGAACGCACAGUGCUGCACAUACAGCUAAUACAGAAGUUACCAGAGCAGGCAAGUGCUGCUGAAGGCCAAUAAACAGCCCCAGGUGGUCAAACAAAAAAGAAGACAGGAGUUGCUCACAAUUCUUCAGUAACUGUGAACUACUGUUGUGCCCAGUUAUUAAAACAAGGGGAAAAAUA